This 78-nucleotide transfer RNA is filed under the name Pseudoleptotrichia goodfellowii F0264. Its description in RNAcentral is "tRNA-Thr". It matches the Rfam family "tRNA". From Rfam's summary of the family: Transfer RNA (tRNA) molecules are approximately 80 nucleotides in length. Their secondary structure includes four short double-helical elements and three loops (D, anti-codon, and T loops). Further hydrogen bonds mediate the characteristic L-shaped molecular structure. tRNAs have two regions of fundamental functional importance: the anti-codon, which is responsible for specific mRNA codon recognition, and the 3' end, to which the tRNAs corresponding amino acid is attached (by aminoacyl-tRNA synthetases). tRNAs cope with the degeneracy of the genetic code in two manners: having more than one tRNA (with a specific anti-codon) for a particular amino acid; and 'wobble' base-pairing, i.e. permitting non-standard base-pairing at the 3rd anti-codon position. The record is from RNAcentral. Lineage: Bacteria; Fusobacteriati; Fusobacteriota; Fusobacteriia; Fusobacteriales; Leptotrichiaceae.
UGCCGCUUUAGCUCAUCUGGUAGAGCAACUGACUUGUAAUCAGUAGGUGGUUGGUUCGAGUCCGACAAGCGGCACCAC